This 380-nucleotide ribosomal RNA is filed under the name uncultured bacterium. RNAcentral's name for it is "bacterial SSU rRNA". It matches the Rfam family "Bacterial small subunit ribosomal RNA", at positions 407 to 800 of the family's 1533-position model. The record is from RNAcentral.
GAUGAAGGUCUUAGGAUUGUAAAAUACUUUCACCGGGGAAGAUAAUGACGGUACCCGGANAAGAAGCCCCGGCUAACUUCGUGCCANCAGCCGCGGUAAUACGAAGGGGGCUAGCGUUGCUCGGAAUUACUGGGCGUAAAGGGCGCGUAGACGGACAGUUUAGUCAGAGGUGAAAGCCCAGGGCUCAACCUUGGAAUUGCCUUUUGAUACUGGCUGUCUUGAGUUCGGGAGAGGUGAGUGGAAUGCCGAGUGUAGAGGUGAAAUUCGUAGAUAUUCGGCGGAACACCAGUGGCGAAGGCGACUCACUGGCCCGAUACUGACGCCUGAGGCGCGAAAGCGUGGGGAGCAAACAGGANNUAGAUACCCUGGUAGUUCCAAGG